AACGAACGCUGGCGGCAUGCCUAACACAUGCAAGUCGAACGAGACCUUCGGGUCUAGUGGCGCACGGGUGCGUAACGCGUGGGAACCUGCCCUUAGGUUCGGAAUAACUCCCGGAAAGGGGUCCUAAUACCGGUUAAUGUCUUCGGCCCAAAGAUUUAUCGCCUUUGGAUGGGCCCGCGUUGGAUUAGCUAGUUGGUAGGGUAAAAGCCUACCAAGGCGACGAUCCAUAGCUGGUCUGAGAGGAUGAUCAGCCACACUGGGACUGAGACACGGCCCAGACUCCUACGGGAGGCAGCAGUGGGGAAUAUUGGACAAUGGGCGAAAGCCUGAUCCAGCAAUGCCGCGUGAGUGAUGAAGGCCUUAGGGUUGUAAAGCUCUUUUACCCGGGAUGAUAAUGACAGUACCGGGAGAAUAAGCUCCGGCUAACUCCGUG
RNAcentral lists this ribosomal RNA (433 nucleotides) under uncultured bacterium. Its description in RNAcentral is "partial 16S ribosomal RNA". It matches the Rfam family "Bacterial small subunit ribosomal RNA", at positions 29 to 507 of the family's 1533-position model. The record is from RNAcentral.